RNAcentral lists this ribosomal RNA (483 nucleotides) under uncultured bacterium. RNAcentral's name for it is "partial 16S ribosomal RNA". It matches the Rfam family "Bacterial small subunit ribosomal RNA", at positions 28 to 507 of the family's 1533-position model. The record is from RNAcentral.
GUUGAACGCUGGCGGCAGGCCUAACACAUGCAAGUCGAGCGGAUGAAGGGAGCUUGCUCCUGGAUUCAGCGGCGGACGGGUGAGUAAUGCCUAGGAAUCUGCCUGGUAGUGGGGGAUAACGUCCGGAAACGGGCGCUAAUACCGCAUACGUCCUGAGGGAGAAAGUGGGGGAUCUCCGGACCUCACGCUAUCAGAUGAGCCUAGGUCGGAUUAGCUAGUUGGUGGGGUAAAGGCCUACCAAGGCGACGAUCCGUAACUGGUCUGAGAGGAUGAUCAGUCACACUGGAACUGAGACACGGUCCAGACUCCUACGGGAGGCAGCAGUGGGGAAUAUUGGACAAUGGGCGAAAGCCUGAUCCAGCCAUGCCGCGUGUGUGAAGAAGGUCUUCGGAUUGUAAAGCACUUUAAGUUGGGAGGAAGGCAGUAAGUUAAUACCUUGCUGUUUUGACGUUACCAACAGAAUAAGCACCGGCUAACUUCGUG